Octopus bimaculoides (California two-spot octopus) is the source of this 339-nucleotide unclassified non-coding RNA. The record is from RefSeq and is a predicted model, not a curated record. NCBI's taxonomy places the organism in Eukaryota, Metazoa, Mollusca, Cephalopoda, Octopoda, Octopodidae.
AGCGUUAUUCCCAUUGGUUGAUUUAGUUUCCUCCCCUCUUUAUUUGCCUACGUCACCGUCAGAGUUACGAUCACGACAACUAUAACCUCAGCUGCAGUUUGGAAGAAGGAACUUUUCAUAUUUCAAAGAACUUGGUCUCUCUGGUCCUAAACCUGUUUCUCAUUUAGGAAACCUGGUACAAAUAAAAAAACUGGGUUUUAAUAAUGUAUUCAAAUACUGGAGAGAAAUCUAUGGUGAUGUAUAUGGUAUUUACUUUGGAGUAGUUCCUAAUUGUAUUGUAAGUGAUCCAGAAUUUGUUCAAGAAGUUUUAGUGAAAAGAUUUUCAAACUUUGUCAAUCG